CUCGUGGAGGAAUAUUUGAGGAGGUGUGUCCCACGUAGCUCGAGAGGCACUGAAUGAACCCUGAGAUUCUGCGUCAUUCUCCCAUCUCAGCCUCCCUUACGCUGAUGCUCCAGAUAAAAUUCCAAAACCUUAAAGAAAAACAAAUGAACAAACUCCUCUCAUCCUUCUACUAAUUUCGAAGCGGCCAGAUUCCUCAUCAAAAGUACUGAACGCACAAGUAUCCCAUAAUUGGCUCCCACGUACUUACGCUGUGCACACAGGUCUGUGAACCAGAUAACAUCUUGGGUGCGUGUCUGCGAGGAGUGGCGCUAAACGCUUCCGUAUCACGACAUCAAAGCCGUUCAGAGAUGAAAGGGCAUCUGAAUAUUUGCAUCAUAAACAAGCUUUACAUACUAGAUAUUCCAAGAAUCUUUCAUUUUAACAGGUGGAGAAAUGAGGACAGGAGCACCUCCGUAAAGCACAGAGCCUCACUUGUGGUUGCUGACUCAGUUGGUGUGGCUUUGAUAGAACCACUGCAAUUAAGCGCCGUGAUGAGCAAGGACUUGUUCGGCUCUUCAUAAGCAGGAGGUUUUACAGUACCUUGAGGAAUUCCAGUGGACCAGAUCAUGCCAGGACCCCCGGUAGAGACUUUCUCUCAGAUGCUGAAGCCAAGCCAAGCUGAGCAGUCCAACGACAAGUAUUGGAGCAUUUCUAAAAAUCUGCCACCCCCUCCCCACAACCACCUCCAGGGACGAUAUUUUGAAGCUCAUGUUAAUUUUAUCCCUUAAAAUUCAUUUGGGGGGAAAAUACCUGAUAAACUGGGAAUCUUCAGGAAAUCUAUUCCUGAAACAAAAUGUCCCUUUCUUUCUCCCUUUCCUUACCUGGUUUAGAACUAGUCAGCCCCUUUUUACUGCACUAUUCUACUACAAAUAUUGUAACCUGGCUUCCUUUAGCUAGAGCCCAAGCCUGGGAAGAAGCUGACCAUGUUCACAGCCUAGCUAAUCAUGCCAGUGUGUCCAAGCUUUA
This is a long non-coding RNA of Neofelis nebulosa (Clouded leopard), 1005 nucleotides long. RefSeq lists it as uncharacterized. The record is from RefSeq and is a predicted model, not a curated record. Lineage: Eukaryota; Metazoa; Chordata; Mammalia; Carnivora; Felidae. The transcript has 2 exons.